Molecule: ribosomal RNA, 497 nt
Filed under: uncultured bacterium
Lineage: Bacteria
Description: partial 16S ribosomal RNA
Rfam family: Bacterial small subunit ribosomal RNA
Source: RNAcentral
GACGAACGCUGGCGGCGUGCCUAAUACAUGCAAGUAGAACGCUGAAGAGAGGAGCUUGCUCUUCUUGGAUGAGUUGCGAACGGGUGAGUAACGCGUAGGUAACCUGCCUUGUAGCGGGGGAUAACUAUUGGAAACGAUAGCUAAUACCGCAUAACAAUGGAUGACACAUGUCAUUUAUUUGAAAGGGGCAAUUGCUCCACUACAAGAUGGACCUGCGUUGUAUUAGCUAGUAGGUGAGGUAAUGGCUCACCUAGGCGACGAUACAUAGCCGACCUGAGAGGGUGAUCGGCCACACUGGGACUGAGACACGGCCCAGACUCCUACGGGAGGCAGCAGUAGGGAAUCUUCGGCAAUGGGGGCAACCCUGACCGAGCAACGCCGCGUGAGGGAAGAAGGGUUUCGGAUCGUAAAGCUCUGUUGUAAGUCAAGAACGGGUGUGAGAGUGGAAAGUUCACACUGUGACGGUAGCUUACCAGAAAGGGACGGCUAACUACGUG